AUAAGACGAAGUUAGUUAAGUAAUUUUAUUUGUAAAAUUUUAUAGUAGACAAUAGAGUAGUGGAGAGUGUAGUAUAUAAUGACGUGUCAAUUUAUUAUGGAAGAGUGCAAUGUUACAGUUGUUAUAAUAAGGGACGUUUGAGUGAGAGGGUACUGUGAGUGUUGUGAGUGUUGCUGGUGAAAGGGUACUACUCCAUUAUGCAGGCUAUUUUCUUUUGUUACUUUGUUUUUUUAUAUCAAUGAAUUAAUUUAAGUUUGUUGUUGAUGGUAUGUGCAGAGAUCAGUGAGAACUUCUCCUCAUUUUGUUGAACCUACACACUGUUUGUUUCUCCCGUUCUCAGGUAAUCCCCGUUCUUUUUCUUUUUUUAAAUUUUUUUAUUUGAUUUUUUAUAUAUAUCAAAACUCAAACACAGAAGAAUGCACAAAAUGAAACAAAUUCAUUACUAAUCAUCAAAGUUCAUUGCUACUAACAUAACGUAAGUAGCAAAUAACUUCGUAUAUAUAAUAUAUACGAAAAACAAUUUUCUACAUCUUAUUUUUUUGGUUUGGAUGAAUCUAAAUUAUACUGCGAACAUUCUCUGAUAAUUUAUAAUUUGUAUAAAAUUAAAUUAGAUUAAUAAUUAGUAACAAAUGAUUUCUUAAAAAUGAUUUAUUUAUAGAAUUAACAUGAAAAUAAUAAUAUGAUUUAUAUAAGAGAUGAUAUAUUGACAAAUAAUCAUUUAAAAUUAUAUAUGAGAUUUUUAUAUAUUAAAAAAAAGAAAAUAAAAACAUUAUGUUUUUAAAUAAGACGAAGUUAGUUAAGUAAUUUUAUUUGUAAAUUUUAUAGUAGACAAUAGAGUAGUGGAGAGUGUAGUAUAUAAUGACGUGUCAAUUUAUUAUUGGAAGAGUGCAAUGUUACAAGUUGUUAUAAUAAGGGACGUUUGAGUGAGAGGGUACUGUGAGUGUGUGGAGUGUUGCUGGGUGAAAGGGUACUACCUCCAUUAUGCAGGCUAUUUUCUUUUGUUACUUUGUUUUUUUUAUUCAAUGAAUUAAUUUAAGUUUGUUGUUGAUGUAUGUGCAGAGAUCAGUGAGAACUUCUCCUCAUUUUUGUUGAACCUACACACUGUUUGUUUCUCCCGUUCUCAGGUAAUCCCGUUCUUUUUCUUUUUUUUAAAUUUUUUUAUUUGAUUUUUUAUAUAUAUCAAAACUCAAACACAGAAGAAUGCACAAAAUGAAACAAAUUCAUUACUAAUCAUCAAGUUCAUUGCUACUAACAUAACGUAAGUAGCAAUAACUUCGUAUAUAUAUAUAUAUACACGAAAAAACAAUUUUCUACAUCUUAUUAUUUUUGGUUUGGAUGAAUCUAAAUUUACUGCGAACAUUCUCUGAUAAUUUAUAAUUUGUAUAAAAUUAAAUUAGAUUAAUAAUUAGUAACAAAUGAUUUCUUAAAAAUGAUUUAUUUAUAGAAUUAACAUGAAAAUAAUAAUAUGAUUUAUAUAAGAGAUGAUAUAUUGACAAAUAAUCAUUUAAAAUUAUAUAUGAGAUUUUUAUAUAUUAAAAAAAAGAAAAUAAAAAACAUUAUGCUUUUUAAAAUAAGACGAAGUUAGUUAAGUAAUUUUAUUUGUAAAAUUUUAUAGUAGACAAUAGAGUAGUGGAGAGUGUAGUAUAUAAUGACGUGUCAUUUAUUAUUGGAAGAGUGCAAUGUUACAAGUUGUUAUAAUAAGGGACGUUUGAGUGAGGGUACUGUGAGUGUUGUGAGUGUUGCUGGGUGAAAGGGUACUACCUCCAUUAUGCAGGCUAUUUUCUUUUGUUACUUUGUUUUUUUAUAUCAAUGAAUUAAUUUAAGUUUGUUGUUGAUGGUAUGUGCAGAGAUCAGUGAGAACUUCUCCUCAUUUUGUUGAACCUACACACUGUUUGUUUCUCCGUUCUCAGGUAAUCCCCGUUCUUUUUCUUUUUUUUAAAUUUUUUUAUUUGAUUUUUUAUAUAUAUCAAAACUCAAACACAGAGAAAUGCACAAAUGAAACAAUUCAUUACUAAUCAUCAAAGUUCAUUGCUACUAAACAUAACGUAAGUAGCAAUAACUUCGUAUAUUAUAUAUACACGAAAAACAAUUUUCUACAUCUUAUUAUUUUUGGAUUGGAUGAAUCUAAAUUAUACUGCGACAUUCUCUGAUAAUUUAUAAUUUGUAUAAAAUUAAAUUAGAUUAAUAAUUAGUAACAAAUGAUUUCUUAAAAUGAUUUAUUUAUAGAAUUACAUGAAAAUAAUAAUAUGAUUUAUAUAAGAGAUGAUAUAUUGACAAAUAAUCAUUUAAAUAUAUAUGAGAUUUUUAUAUAUUAAAAAAAGAAAAUAAAAAACAUUAUGCUUUUUAAAAUAAGACGAAGUUAGUUAAGUAAUUUUAUUUGUAAUUUUUAUAGUAGACAAUAGAGUAGUGGAGAGUGUAGUAUAUAAUGACGUGUCAAUUUAUUAUUGGAAGAGUGCAAUGUUACAAGUUGUUAUAAUAAGGGACGUUUGAGUGAGAGGGUACUGUGAGUGUUGUGAGUGUUGCUGGGUGAAAGGGUACUACCUCCAUUAUGCAGGCUAUUUUCUUUUGUUACUUUGUUUUUUUAUAUCAAUGAAUUAAUUUAAGUUUGUUGUUGAUGGUAUGUGCAGAGAUCAGUGAGAACUUCUCCUCAUUUUGUUGAACCUACACACUGUUUGUUUCUCCCGUUCUCAGGUAUCCCCCGUUCUUUUUCUUUUUUUUAAAUUUUUUUAUUUGAUUUUUAUAUAUAUCAAACUCAAACACAGAAGAAUGCACAAAAUGAAACAAAUUCAUUACUAAUCACAAAGUUCAUUGCUACUAAACAUAACGUAAGUAGCAAAUAACUUCGUAUAUAUAUAUAUAACACGAAAAAAACAAUUUUCUACAUCUUAUUAUUUUUGGAUUGGAUGAAUCUAAAUUAUACUGCGAACAUUCUCUGAUAAUUAUAAUUUGUAUAAAAUUAAAUUAGAUUAAUAAUUAGUAACAAUGAUUUCUAAAAAUGAUUUAUUUAUAGAAUUAACAUGAAAAUAAUAAUAUGAUUUAUAUAAGAGAUGAUAUAUUGACAAAUAAUCAUUUAAAAUUAUAUAUGAGAUUUUUAUAUAUUAAAAAAAAGAAAUAAAAACAUUAUGCUUUUUAAAAUAAGACGAAGUUAGUUAAGUAAUUUUAUUUGUAAAAUUUUAUAGUAGACAAUAGAGUAGUGGAGAGUGUAGUAUAUAAGACGUGUCAAUUUAUUAUUGGAAGAGUGCAAUGUUACAGUUGUUAUAAUAAGGGACGUUUGAGUGAGAGGGUACUGUGAGUGUUGUGAGUGUUGCUGGGUGAAAGGGUACUACCUCCAUUAUGCAGGCUAUUUUCUUGUACUUUGUUUUUUUAUAUCAAUGAAUUAAUUAAGUUGUUUGUUGAUGGUAUGUGCAGAGAUCAGUGAGAACUUCUCCUCAUUUUGUUGAACCUACACACUGUUUGUUUCUCCCGUUCUCAGGUAAUCCCCGUUCUUUUUCUUUUUUAAAUUUUUUUAUUUGAUUUUUUAUAUAUAUCAAAAUCAACACAGAAGAAUGCACAAAAUGAAACAAAUUCAUUACUAAUCAUCAAGUUCAUUGCUACUAAACAUAACGUAAGUAGCAAAUAACUUCGUAUAUAUAUAUACACGAAAAAACAAUUUUCUACAUCUUAUUAUUUUUGGAUUGGAUGAAUCUAAAUUAUACUGCGAACAUUCUCUGAUAAUUUAUAAUUUGUAUAAAAUUAAUUAGAUUAAUAUUAGUAACAAAUGAUUUCUUAAAAAUGAUUUAUUUAUAGAAUUAACAUGAAAAUAAUAAUAUGAUUUAUAUAAGAGAUGUAUAUUGACAAAUAAUCAUUUAAAAUAUAUAUGAGAUUUUUAUAUAUUAAAAAAAAGAAAAUAAAACAUUAUGCUUUUUAAAAUAAGACGAAGUUAGUUAAGUAAUUUUAUUUGUAAAAUUUUAUAGUAGACAUAGAGUAGUGGAGAGUGUAGUAUAUAAUGACGUGUCAAUUUAUUAUUGGAAGAGUGCAAUGUUACAAGUUGUUAUAAUAAGGGACGUUUGAGUGAGAGGGUACUGUGAGUGUUGUGAGUGUUGCUGGGUGAAAGGGUACUACCUCCAUUAUGCAGGCUAUUUUCUUUUGUUACUUUGUUUUUUUAUAUCAAUGAAU
RNAcentral lists this long non-coding RNA (4155 nucleotides) under Lathyrus oleraceus (garden pea). Its description in RNAcentral is "Pisum sativum (pea) long non-coding RNA (PSAT_LNC040748)". The record is from RNAcentral. Lineage: Eukaryota; Viridiplantae; Streptophyta; Magnoliopsida; Fabales; Fabaceae.